Long non-coding RNA from Peromyscus maniculatus bairdii (prairie deer mouse), 946 nucleotides. RefSeq lists it as uncharacterized. The record is from RefSeq and is a predicted model, not a curated record. Lineage: Eukaryota; Metazoa; Chordata; Mammalia; Rodentia; Cricetidae.
GGCAAGAGCGACACGCUGUUCUGUUGUGCCCUUGAGUGAUCAAACAGUUCCAAGAGCAAACAGGAGCUUCAGCUGCAGGAAUCAGAGGGCUUCAGGAGCCCAGCAGAGUGCAGAGAAGCCAGGGAGGGGUUUCUUAAGAUUGACGCCAUCACUGAGCCACAGACGUCAAAAUAUUGAAAAAAUUAUUAGAUUUGGUGCAAGUGCUGAGUUUGGAGAUGUGAGAUCUUGUCCUUAGGAAAGAGAUCAAAAUUAACAUGUCUUUGAAAGUCAUAGAGGGAUGAACACAAACAAAAGCCACCCAAACCUCCCAGCUUUGGAAAUACUGAUGAAUAUGGAACUAAACAAGGUCUUGUAAACACAAGCCAGAGCUCAUUUGAAUAGACAUGCUUUGCUCCAUGUGUAUAGGAAUUCCAAGGUGUUCUAAGUGAGGAAAUUUAGAGUUACUGAUGGAUGGGAACGUGUGGCUGAGAAAUAGGAGGUGAACAUCAAGGGGUACCAGCUGUUACCAGAAGCUGGAAGACUCUGGAAGCACAGAAGACACAGCCUCCCCUGGGGUUACAGAGGGAAGACAGCCCUGCCUAUACCGCGAUGAGGAUCUUCAUCAUGAAGAGAGCAGAAAGAAUGGAAGAGCCAGGAAUGGUCAAUGACAUCAAUGAAACACUAGUUCCAAGAGCAGCAGGGAGAAGAACUUACGAACUCAUGGGGAUUGUGAACAUACUCCACCCAGAAAAAAAUCCAGCCCAGAGCUGGGAAAGUUGGACAGGAAAUCCUACCACCAUCUGAGGAGCUACCGGCAUUUGAUUGUAGUUGGGAGAGUGAGAGUCAGGUUUUGUUUGUUUGUUUGUUUGUUUUGUUUUGUUUUAAUGAUGUGACCUCUCAAAGGUUGACUACAUACCAGGCCAGGGCCCACUCCUAAUACUAACUGGGCAACUCAGACGGGACUCAA